RNAcentral lists this long non-coding RNA (340 nucleotides) under Olea europaea subsp. europaea. The record is from RNAcentral. Lineage: Eukaryota; Viridiplantae; Streptophyta; Magnoliopsida; Lamiales; Oleaceae.
CUUUUAUUUACCAACUAAAAUAUAUAUAUAAAAUAAAAUUGGACAUCCAGUGGCUGAGAUACGAAAACCUAUCCUCUGCUAUUCUUUUCUUGCAGCAAUCUAUUCUUCACCUCAAAGUGAAUCCAAAUAAUUAAUUUGUUUAGAGGCUUCUUCUCCUCAGCAGCUCAGCUUCUGUCUCUCCAUGGAUACCCUGUCAAGCCCCGUACCUUCCUUGAACAUCUCCAGUUCACUUCAUUCGACACCUCGUGAAUUCUAUCAUUUCAAGAAUCCCAAAUCAUCUCAUCAUCAUUUUCUUCCUCCAAAUCCCUAUUUUUGUUAUUCUGUUGCUAAACCUGCAAAU